GGGGGUGUGGCGGAACUGGCAGACGCGGGGGGCUUAAAACCCCCUGCCCGUUCUCGGGCGUGCGGGUUCGACUCCCGCCACCCCCA
Molecule: transfer RNA, 86 nt
Filed under: Aquificota bacterium
Lineage: Bacteria; Pseudomonadati; Aquificota
Description: Aquificae bacterium (hydrothermal vent metagenome) tRNA-Leu
Rfam family: tRNA
About the family: Transfer RNA (tRNA) molecules are approximately 80 nucleotides in length. Their secondary structure includes four short double-helical elements and three loops (D, anti-codon, and T loops).
Source: RNAcentral